This 253-nucleotide ribosomal RNA is filed under the name uncultured bacterium. Its description in RNAcentral is "partial 16S ribosomal RNA". It matches the Rfam family "Bacterial small subunit ribosomal RNA", at positions 524 to 776 of the family's 1533-position model. The record is from RNAcentral.
UACGUAGGGUGCAAGCGUUGUCCGGAAUUAUUGGGCGUAAAGAGCUCGUAGGCGGUUAGUCGCGUCUGCUGUGAAAACUCGGGGCUUAACUCCGGGCCUGCAGUGGGUACGGGCUGACUAGAGUGCGGUAGGGGAGACUGGAAUUCCUGGUGUAGCGGUGAAAUGCGCAGAUAUCAGGAGGAACACCGGUGGCGAAGGCGGGUCUCUGGGCCGUAACUGACGCUGAGGAGCGAAAGCGUGGGUAGCGAACAGG